RNA transcript from Carlito syrichta (Philippine tarsier), 623 nucleotides. It is a transcript of the gene named 2-amino-3-ketobutyrate coenzyme A ligase, mitochondrial-like, with no coding region annotated. Lineage: Eukaryota; Metazoa; Chordata; Mammalia; Primates; Tarsiidae. The record is from RefSeq and is a predicted model, not a curated record. The transcript has 3 exons.
GGUGCGCCCCGCACUGGAGCAGGCCGGCGCGCUCAGGCUUGGUGGGAGCGAUGUGGGCUGUGGGCGUCUGGCGCGCUGCGCUCGGCCGGGCCCCCUGCGGCCGCCGCGCGCAGUCAGCGCUGGCCCAACUGCGUGGCAUCCUGGAGGGGGAGCUGGAAGGGAUCCGCGAGGCUGGCACCUGGAAGAGUGAGCGGGUCAUCACGUCCCGUCAGGGGCCUCACAUCCACGUGGACGGCGUCUCCGGAGGAAUCCUUAACUUCUGUGCCAACAACUACCUGGGUCUGAGCAGCCACCCUGAGGUGAUCCAGGCAGGUCUGCAGGCUAUGGAGGAGUUCGGAGCUGGCCUUAGCUCUGUCCGCUUCAUCUGUGGGACCCAGGUACACAGUGGUGCCCUGGAUGGUAGCGAAAUUUUGACGCAGAGAAGGGAGAACCCUAAGGUGGUGGAGUGAUGGCUCCACCCUAACUCCUCCCUCCAGGUCCUGCUGACCCCCGAGGAUGCAGUCCUGUCAGAUGAGCUUAACCACGCCUCCAUCAUUGAUGGCAUCCGUCUGUGCAAGGCCCAUAAGUACCGCUAUCGCCACCUGGACAUGGCUGACCUAGAAGCCAAGCUGCAGGAGGCCCAG